UACGUAGGGGGCAAGCGUUGUCCGGAUUCAUUGGGCGUAAAGGGCGCGUAGGCGGCGUGACAAGUCACUUGUGAAAUCUCCGGGCUUAACCCGGAGCGGCCAAGUGAUACUGUCGUGCUAGAGUGCGGAAGGGGCUACUGGAAUUCUCGGUGUAGCGGUGAAAUGCGUAGAUAUCGAGAGGAACACCUGCGGCGAAGGCGGGUAGCUGGGCCGACACUGACGCUGAGGCGCGAAAGCCAGGGGAGCGAACGGG
RNAcentral lists this ribosomal RNA (253 nucleotides) under uncultured bacterium. RNAcentral's name for it is "partial 16S ribosomal RNA". It matches the Rfam family "Bacterial small subunit ribosomal RNA", at positions 524 to 776 of the family's 1533-position model. The record is from RNAcentral.